AGAAAAGCCACCCAACCCAUGCUUUCAUGGGCUGCUUGGAGUAUGGGCCACUAGGGACCCUGGCAGGUGAGGAAGUUGAGGCUUUACCAUGCCAAAUCAUCACUGCUGCUGCUUUGAUUUGAUUUUCUGUGGAUAUACUGUGGCCAUCUAGUGGCUUCAGGAAUAUGGUGAUGUUACCUAGGGAAGGUACUUAAUGCAGAAAACAUGUUACGUUAGAAGAAGGGGAUAAGAAGAAUGAAAUAUACAGAUGUGCUUCUUAAAGGUUAGUGUUAUUUUCUCUUGGAAGUGUUGUGUAAAUAAUAUGUGAAUACACUUUACAACAGCAGGUAAAUAGCUCUUGCUGUGCCCUUUAACCUUGUUUGUUCCCAGUGUCUCCAUGAUUUAUUUAAUAUCCUGUUCAUAUUUCCUCAACAUUAGGUACCCUCUUCAUUGGGAAUCCCUUCUCAAUUUGUUACAAACAGGCUUGUUAAUUUACCAACAACAGCUUUUGAUAGAAAUCUCAGAUGACUUAGCUGUUUCCCAAACUUAAGAUUCCCUUCGCCACACUAGUACUCCCAUGGGACUUUGCUGGUUGUAUUUGUUUUGGAGUAAGUUAAAAGACAACUUAAAUGAACCUGAGAAAGUCUUAUGACUUUGUAAUACUUAAUUAGUAUUUACCUAGGGAACUGUGGAAUAACUGCAUCUUAACUUGGAAAUUUAAAAGAAUCUUUAAAUUUCCUUUCUGAACAAAUGCUAUAAACUAAAUAAAACCUUUUAUGGUCAGUGUCCUCCAUCAA
This is a long non-coding RNA of Leopardus geoffroyi (Geoffroy's cat), 776 nucleotides long. RefSeq lists it as uncharacterized. The record is from RefSeq and is a predicted model, not a curated record. The transcript is spliced from 2 exons. Lineage: Eukaryota; Metazoa; Chordata; Mammalia; Carnivora; Felidae.